CACCCUUGCCUGCUGGCUACGAAUAGUGGGCACCGUUCUGUUCGCGCCAGUCCGUGGGCGCAGGGCUUGUUCAAUGAGAAUGUCAUCAAGCCUACAAGCCACUUACGGGAAUUGCGCUAGGUUUCUAUUUCUUUUCAAGGGAAGAGUGGAAUUAUAAUUGCUGGGAAUUUCCCCCCUCUUUCUUGUAAGUGCAUAUAAGUCACCUGCAGCUGCCACUUUCAUUUUAGUCUUAGUUGAUCGCGAGGGAAAAGCUACCUUACCCACUGCCAAGGUGUAUUUAAGAGAAAACGAGCGGGUAGAAAAGAAGCAGAACGCUGUUCGUUGUUUAGCACUCCGUCAAAUGUAAUAUAGACACGGGCUGGAGGAUGAGUCCAGAGAUAACUUCUGAUGUCACUUUUGGGUUUCGCCCAGUGGUCCUGCCUCUUUACCCCAGGACUUAUAUGAAGAGCGAUGACACCAGAAGUCAGCUUUAACUGAUGAACCCACCAUAGUGAAGGAUGCCUCAUUGAUGGGAGACAUUGCUAUCUAAGGAAACUUGACCUUGAAAAGAGUCACCUAGUAUAGCAUAGAAAUGGCCAAUAGAUGCCCAGUAACUUUUCUGACAUUUGCUUUAAUUGUCUUCUUAUUUUCACCUUCAUUAAAUGGUGUGCCUAGAUGAACCCAUCCCUUUAUGAUUUCCUAUUUUGCUUUUAUUUUACAAUAGAAAUUUCAAAAUAUUUUUAUAUGCAUUUGUCAUUUUUGUAUUUUGCAGUUUAUUUUUAAAUAUAUUUAUUAGGCAUUUGAAGUAUCAUCCAAUAGAUAUCUCCUAGGGUUUCUUAUGCUUAUCUCUAAACUAGCGCAAAUCUUACUGUGACUCAGCUCAACUUCUAUUUAAAGUAAGUAAUACAUAAUUGUAACCUGUGAUGUUUUGUGAUUAGUACAGAACUUGGUCUACAAAUUGUAAAUAAAAGCGAGUGAUUUCAGACUUUU
This is a long non-coding RNA of Polypterus senegalus (gray bichir), 969 nucleotides long. RefSeq lists it as uncharacterized. The transcript has 2 exons. Lineage: Eukaryota; Metazoa; Chordata; Cladistia; Polypteriformes; Polypteridae. The record is from RefSeq and is a predicted model, not a curated record.